UACGGAGGGAGCUAGCGUUAUUCGGAAUUACUGGGCGUAAAGCGUACGUAGGCGGCUUUGCAAGUUAGAGGUGAAAGCCUGGAGCUCAACUCCAGAACUGCCUUUAAAACUGCAUCGCUUGAAUCCAGGAGAGGUGAGUGGAAUUCCGAGUGUAGAGGUGAAAUUCGUAGAUAUUCGGAAGAACACCAGUGGCGAAGGCGGCUCACUGGACUGGUAUUGAUGCUGAGGUACGAAAGCGUGGGGAGCAAACAGG
RNAcentral lists this ribosomal RNA (253 nucleotides) under uncultured bacterium. RNAcentral describes it as "partial 16S ribosomal RNA". It matches the Rfam family "Bacterial small subunit ribosomal RNA", at positions 524 to 776 of the family's 1533-position model. The record is from RNAcentral.